RNAcentral lists this long non-coding RNA (231 nucleotides) under Elaeis guineensis (African oil palm). Its description in RNAcentral is "long non-coding RNA (EGUI_LNC052163)". The record is from RNAcentral. Lineage: Eukaryota; Viridiplantae; Streptophyta; Magnoliopsida; Arecales; Arecaceae.
UCAACCAAUGUCCAUACAUCGUUGACCUUUAUGGACUCCAUUUCAGAUUUCAUGGCUUCAAGCCAUUUCUAGAAAUCAGGUCUCUGCAUUGCAUCCAUAUAGGUGAUUGGAUUCUCAUCAUUCUCAUCGAGUUCGAUGGGAUCACCGUCCUGGACCAAAAAACUGUAGUAUCUGUCCGACUGAUGCGGUACUCUAUCGGAUCGCCUUAAUGGUGCAGGUACAUUAGGCCCC